AGUGAACGCUGGCGGUAGGCCUAACACAUGCAAGUCGAACGGCAGCACAGUAAGAGCUUGCUCUUACGGGUGGCGAGUGGCGGACGGGUGAGGAAUACAUCGGAAUCUACUUUUUCGUGGGGGAUAACGUAGGGAAACUUACGCUAAUACCGCAUACGACCUACGGGUGAAAGCAGGGGAUCUUCGGACCUUGCGCGAUUGAAUGAGCCGAUGUCGGAUUAGCUAGUUGGCGGGGUAAAGGCCCACCAAGGCGACGAUCCGUAGCUGGUCUGAGAGGAUGAUCAGCCACACUGGAACUGAGACACGGUCCAGACUCCUACGGGAGGCAGCAGUGGGGAAUAUUGGACAUUGGGCGCAAGCCUGAUCCAGCCAUACCGCGUGGGUGAAGAAGGCCUUCGGGUUUUAAAGCCCUUUUGUUGGGAAAGAAAAGCAGCAGGUUAAUACCCCGCUGUUCUGACGGUACCCAAAGAAUAAGCACCGGCUAACUUCGUG
Molecule: ribosomal RNA, 492 nt
Filed under: uncultured bacterium
Lineage: Bacteria
Description: partial 16S ribosomal RNA
Rfam family: Bacterial small subunit ribosomal RNA
Source: RNAcentral